GAAAAUAUAAAAUAUAAAAAAAUAAAUAUUAAAUUUUAUUGUUAGAAUAAAUAAUAAAUAAUGUGCGAAACAUUGCAGAUAAAACAGUUAGUUUUUAUAUAAUAGCCAAAACAAUGACACCCAAAAAUCCUCAACCAAUUUCAUCCCUACAGUCAAUCCUCCAAUUUGCAUUUUAAAUUACAAAUUCCACUAUCAAAUCACAACCCAUAAAAAAAGGUUCCAUGAAAU
Molecule: unclassified non-coding RNA, 228 nt
Filed under: Hevea brasiliensis (rubber tree)
Lineage: Eukaryota; Viridiplantae; Streptophyta; Magnoliopsida; Malpighiales; Euphorbiaceae
Source: RNAcentral